This is a long non-coding RNA of Daucus carota subsp. sativus, 1184 nucleotides long. RefSeq lists it as uncharacterized. The transcript is spliced from 2 exons. The record is from RefSeq and is a predicted model, not a curated record. NCBI's taxonomy places the organism in Eukaryota, Viridiplantae, Streptophyta, Magnoliopsida, Apiales, Apiaceae.
UUGACUAUAAAAUCAAAGCCAUCUUCUUCGUCUCCAUAUCUCCCUCUCGUUCUUGUUGUAUUUUCCCCAAUUUUUUUGCGUCUUUGUGUUUCGUUGUAUACAGAUGAGUAAUAGGUUUUGGCCUAUGAUUAAUAAUCUUCUAAGACAAGCAUAUGUCUGAAUCAUCCUAUGUUGAUCACCUAAUCUUCUCUAUGAGGCCUUGUUAUUUUAUAUUUUUACGCUUUUUUUUUUGUUUUUUUGUUUAUUAAUGUAUUGAAAUUGAAGAGCCAGUGAUGAGAUAGUUUAUCGUGUAAUUGUAUGAUAAAUUCAUGAUUACAUCAAUGCUACUGCCUUCCUUCUGAGGCUCUUGAUUUUUAUAUCUUUUUGCUUGUUUUUGUUUAGUAAUUCAGAUCAAACAGGAGUCAAGUGAUGAUUAAAUGCAUAGUUCAAAUGAUUAUAUAUGUGAUUACACAUUUGAAAUUAGUCUUUCGCUCCUAUCUGAUGACUCCUUGAUUGUUUAUUUAAUGCCUCUGUUUUUAUGAUCAAGGAAAGAUUUGGGAAUUAAUUGUUAUGUACUUGUAAUUUUAUGAGAUCUUGUCUGUUAUUUACGUUUAUUGUUUAUUGUUAAAUAUUUAUAUAUACUUGUGUAGUAAACAAGCUAAGACUCCGAUGACGGAGAGACUCUUGAGCUGUUUUGCAGAAGAUUAAGUCGAAACAAGAAAAUAAAAGUUUAUUUUCUGCACACGGAUACAUAAACAUUUAAAAAAUAAGCAUGAACAACAGAUAAGAUCACAUAAAAUUGCAAUUACAGGUCAUACAACAAUUAAUUAUUUACGUACUUGAUUAUUUUUAUAAAUGUUGUGUUUUUAUUUGCAAUCAGGGACACUGAUGAUUGUGAUUGGUCUCGUUCGUCAUAACGGUGAAUUUUCACCUUGCCGACCAUCCUGUUAUAUCACCACCCAUAAACUGAGUCCCAUUCAAAUAUUAUGCUACUUUGUAUAUUCAAGAUGCGUAUUUUGCUUCUCUGGCUUCAUAGCAAUUAUGUUGGAGUGUAUGCACUUGUUUCAAGGCUCCACAUUUCAGCGUAUCUUAAUUGAAAUUGCCUAACUGGAUGAACAGAAUAUAAAGAUAUUUGAGCGCAUCUUUUUGAUAUGGUGGACUGGAAAGAGGAUGGACACAAAUAAAAUUAUUAAAAUUUUUUUGAA